This 460-nucleotide ribosomal RNA is filed under the name uncultured bacterium. Its description in RNAcentral is "partial 16S ribosomal RNA". It matches the Rfam family "Bacterial small subunit ribosomal RNA", at positions 338 to 795 of the family's 1533-position model. The record is from RNAcentral.
CCUACGGGUGGCAGCAGUGAGGAAUAUUGGUCAAUGGACGCAAGUCUGAACCAGCCAUGCCGCGUGCAGGAAGACGGCUCUAUGAGUUGUAAACUGCUUUUGUACGAGGGUAAACGCAGAUACGCGUAUCUGUCUGAAAUUAUCGUACGAAUAAGGAUCGGCUAACUCCGUUCCAGCCGCCGCGGUAAUACGGAGGAUUCAAGCGUUAUCCGGAUUUAUUGGGUGUAAAGGGUGCGUAGGCGGUCGGAUAAGUUAGAGGUGAAAUCCCGAGGCUCAACUUCGGAAUUGCCUCUGAUACUGUUAGGCUAGAGAGUAGUUGCGGUAGGCGGAAUGUAUGGUGUAGCGGUGAAAUGCUUAGAGAUCAUACAGAACACCGAUUGCGAAGGCAGCUUACCAAGAUACUUCUGACGUUGAGGCACGAAAGCGUGGGGAGCAAACAGGAUUAGAUACCCCGGUAGUC